Molecule: non-coding RNA, 2343 nt
Organism: Anas platyrhynchos (mallard)
Lineage: Eukaryota; Metazoa; Chordata; Aves; Anseriformes; Anatidae
Source: RefSeq, a predicted model, not a curated record
UUUAAAUAUUGUGUGUGUGUGUGUGUGAUUCAUACAAUGGUUGUUUUGGCUGCAGGAGUUUGGUUGUCAGCAGCAAGUUAAUGAACAAUUUAAGAUACUGACAUUGACACUUUCACCAAUCAUGCAGCCCAUCAAAGUUGCUCAAGGAUUUUCUACUGCAUUUGGCUUCUGCAAAGUUACUCAAAGAUUUUCCAUUGAAUUAAGCUUCUACUCGUCCUGCUGUAACUUUGUAAAGGGUUUCAAAUAAACAUACUUACAUAUUCUGUUACAUACACUGUAAAUGUCCUGAUAUUACACAGUAGAAAUGAAAAGGAAAAGCAAUUAAAAACUGUUUCAAAAAAAGAAAAAUCUGAAAUUCAUAGUUCAGAAAUACAAGGCCAUAGCCAAAGUAUGCAUCUCUAACCUUUCUCACAGUUAUGUAGCCCUGAGAAAUAUCUUUGCUAAUUAGAUAAUUGCAGAAACUUUUCCUAAUACAGCUAAUUUAAAUGCAAAGUCCCUUAAUAAAAUUCAUUUUUUUUUCCUUUCUUUAAAAUGUACUUGUCACUCUUAGUUGAUUUGUGGGACUUUUACAUAUCAAAGUUGAAAACCAGCCAGAAAAAAAGUGAAUUAUAUUUUAGGGAGAAACACGAUUACAGUGUGAAGAGGAGGAGGAAGUUUUCCUCCUCUGCCCACCACCCUUCCUCAAGGGGCACGAGGCAAAGGCUGGCCUGUGGCUAUAAGAUGGUACAAACCACAGGCUCCCGUCUGAAUGUAGAUAAAAAUGCUAUGCCUUCAACCAGCACGUUGGACUGAUGGGCAAAAAGAGGCUGUUCUGGAAAAGCUCUGCAAUGGGAAAACAGGAGAUGGAGCCUACUUUCCCUGCACGUCCCUGCUGAACAUGCCAUAGAUGUACCAGGUGAAAGUACAAGGCUUGGCAUCCAGACAGGGCUGGGCUACAGAGUGCUGAAAUGCCUCUAAGGAUUAGUCAAAGGCUGGGUGAGUUUUCCAGUAAGUGGCAGCUGAGCUUUGUCCUAUGUUCCCCCGCCAGCAGCAGCUGAAAGAACAAAGUGUGAGAACAUGGAGCAGUUUUUGACUCAGCCAUGCAGACGGCAGCAGAGUGUGCUGGGGAAGAUCCCAGAGUUUUCAUCAAGUUUUUUCUUAAAAAUAAUAAUUGGGAAAAAAAAUAAAAAAUCAUGGCAUAAUAUUCAGUAGCAAUUUGGCCAAAGACUAACUGUUGAGUGGGAAUUUGGCCUGAGACUAAUUGGCUCAGACCUGAAACGCAGUGGGAUGAGAAGCUCUUUCUUCACUUCUGACAGCCUGAAACUAUUCUUAAGUGUCUACAUCUUCCUUUUCAGUUCAUCCCUUGUCUGCUGAUUACUGCUGACCAAAACAUGCCUGUCAUUCAAGUACCGCUCUACCCCAGCCCUGCUUGACUCAGAAGCUUCUUGGGCUGUGUUUUUCAGAAGCUGCAUUACAUUUGAAGGAGCUGAGACAGGAAGAUGCUACUUUGACAGGCUUCUUAAGAAGAGCAAGAAGCUGAAAUCAGAAGGAAGUGAAGCUCACUCAUCAUCCGGCAGAGCGAAAGAUGCUGGGAGAGUUCAGAGCUCAGAACUGCUUCUCCCACAUGAUCCAGGGAUGGAUGAGAUGCUGCCUCCCAUGAUAUCACCUUCCCAGCUCUCCAGAAAGUGGCUAGAGACCUGGUAGGGGUGGAUGGGGUUGGAGGGAAACAAUGGCUACAUUAAGUAGAACUUUUUUCUGUAUCCCAAACAAGAAUCAAAUAAAAGUCCAGCUGCUUUUGUCCUUUUUUAUUCACUUUCAAACUCUGCUUAGCACUCCUGAGAGGUUAAUAUCUUCAGUUUAAUAGCUUAAACUACUAUCAGCUCAAACUACUCUUUUGUCACCAGUUAAAUGGUAGUUCCUAAUUCAGGUUUUGUGCCUCCUCUUGUGAUCAGACAUUCUGGUCACCCACAUUAAGAUAAUCCCCCCUCAGAUGGUGAAUUAGCAUCAGGCUUAGACAAUGUCUCAAAGGAGAAAGUGUUGAAGUGGCUCAUGUCUUCUUUUUUUUUGCCUUCUGUUGCUCUCCGUAUUUUGUUUUCUCUGGCUGUAUUGCUCAAUCUCACAGGCUUGGACCUUUCCCAUCUCAUUACUUCUUCUAGCUGGAGAAACAUCAAGGCUAUUACCAUCAGUGGUGAACGGGGCAACUCUGAAGUCAUUAUUGUGUCUUCAAAAAGAGUUAAAUCAGCAAAAGGUCAUUUCAUAAUAGCAGUAAAAGACAGCAGUUAUUGUUCAAUGCAACAUAUUGACUGGUGGCUUAACAGGUUACAUUCUCACCCAAGCUUUCUUUGCAAAAGGAAAUAUAAAAAA